UCCAUGGAUAGCUCAGAAGGUAGAGCAUGAGACUCUUGAUCUCAGGGUUGUGAGUUCAAACCCCACCUCGAGCAGAA
Non-coding RNA from Podarcis lilfordi (Lilford's wall lizard), 77 nucleotides. Lineage: Eukaryota; Metazoa; Chordata; Lepidosauria; Squamata; Lacertidae. The record is from the annotation of a GenBank genome assembly.